RNAcentral lists this ribosomal RNA (653 nucleotides) under uncultured fungus. Its description in RNAcentral is "eukaryotic LSU rRNA". The stretch from base 245 to 398 matches the Rfam family "5.8S ribosomal RNA". Lineage: Eukaryota; Fungi. The record is from RNAcentral.
AGUAAAAGUCGUAACAAGGUUUCCGUAGGUGAACCUGCGGAAGGAUCAUUAUCGAGUUUUGAACGGGUUGUCUGCUGGCUCGCAAGGGCAUGUGCACGCCUGUCUCAUCCACUCUCAACUUCUGUGCACUUUUCAUAGGCCGGCUUGUGGGUGCGUUCGCGCACUUGUAGGUGUCGGGCUUAUGCUUUACUACAAACGAUUCAGUUUUAGAAUGUCAUACUUUGCUAUAACGCAAUUUAUAUACAACUUUCAGCAACGGAUCUCUUGGCUCUCGCAUCGAUGAAGAACGCAGCGAAAUGCGAUAAGUAAUGUGAAUUGCAGAAUUCAGUGAAUCAUCGAAUCUUUGAACGCACCUUGCGCUCCUUGGUAUUCCGAGGAGCAUGCCUGUUUGAGUGUCAUGGUAUCAUCAACCUUCAACACUUUUGUGUCUGUAGGCUUGGACUUGGAGGUCGUGUCGGCGUUCGCGUCGGCUCCUCUGAAAUGCAUUAGCGUGAAUCUUACGAAUCGCCCUCGGUGUGAUAAUUUCUACGCCGUAGACGUGCAGUAUAUAGUGUUCGUGCUUACAACCGUCUGCAAAGACAACAUCAUUGACAAUCUGACCUCAAAUCAGGUAGGACUACCCGCUGAACUUAAGCAUAUCAAUAAGCGGAGGA